RNAcentral lists this long non-coding RNA (556 nucleotides) under Homo sapiens (human). Its description in RNAcentral is "non-protein coding lnc-ZNF649-3:4". Lineage: Eukaryota; Metazoa; Chordata; Mammalia; Primates; Hominidae. The record is from RNAcentral.
GUGUUUAGAGACUUCGGGUCCCUGACUCGCCUCCAGCAGUGGAGACAGGUCAUCGGUCUGGUCUGCGUGGGCUUCUGGGAAUGUUUCAGGGGCAGGGAGAGCGCGCUUUUUUUUUUCUGUUGUUCGCUAGCGCGUGAGGUCCGUGUUGCGGGGAGCUCUCGGGGAGUCCUCGCUCGGAGUUCGUUUCGCAGUCGUGUUGGAGUUCCCAGAGUCUGGGAGCCCAUGGUCUCCGCAUUGGAACCAGUGCUUGGGAGGUCUUCGUUGCACAGUAGCGCUAGGGCGUCGUGGUGGGGAAGCGAAUCGUUUGAGCAUUUUUGUCAUCUGCAAAUAAUUUUAGCCAGGUGGCAAGUGUAUGGACUGUGGAGUAAGAAGUACCUGCCUCUGCCUCUGACUUGGGUUCUGGCCUAUAGGAACAAGACAUUUUCAGUAAUGGAAGAAGGAGCUUCCAGGCUGGGGAAGAUCAUCAUUUCCAGUGGUAGCUUGACCUGAGAUGAUACCUGACCACCACUUCUGGGAAGGCCCAGAAUAGACAGAAGAGAGAGAACAUACUAGAGUU